UCCUGGUUAACCCAGGCAGUCUCACUAGAGUUCCCACCUUUACGUGUUGGCAACUAGUGAUAAGGGUUGCGCUCGUUGCGGGACUUAACCCAACACCUCACGGCACGAGCUGACGACAGCCAUGCAGCACCUGUUUAGUGGUCCCGAAGGAACUCUUCAUCUCUGAAGCUGUCCACUAUAUGUCAAGACUGGGUAAGGUUCUUCGCGUUGCAUCGAAUUAAACCACAUGCUCCACUGCUUGUGCGGGUCCCCGUCAAUUCUUUUGAGUUUCACCCUUGCGAGUGUACUCCCCAGGCGGUAUACUUAUCGCGUUAGCUACGGCACAGCCAGGGUUGAGUCCGGCUACACCAAGUAUACAUAGUUUACGGUAAGGACUAC
RNAcentral lists this unclassified non-coding RNA (378 nucleotides) under uncultured Chlamydiales bacterium. Its description in RNAcentral is "contains 16S-23S intergenic spacer region". Lineage: Bacteria; Pseudomonadati; Chlamydiota; Chlamydiia; Chlamydiales. The record is from RNAcentral.